GACGAACCGUGCGAACGUUGUUCGGAUUCACUGGGCUUAAAGGGCGCGUAGGCGGGCUAGCAAGUCAGGGGUGAAAUCUUUCGGCUCAACCGGAAAAGUGCUCCUGAUACUGUUAGUCUUGAGGGAGGUAGGGGCAUGUGGAACUUCCGGUGGAGCGGUGAAAUGCGUAGAUAUCGGAAGGAACGCCGGUGGCGAAAGCGACGUGCUGGAUCUCUUCUGACGCUGAGGCGCGAAAGCCAGGGUAG
Molecule: ribosomal RNA, 245 nt
Filed under: uncultured bacterium
Lineage: Bacteria
Description: partial 16S ribosomal RNA
Rfam family: Bacterial small subunit ribosomal RNA
Source: RNAcentral